GAGAACACUAAAUAUUCAAAGAACAGAGAACGAAUCACAACCGUUGAUCUUAUCUAAUCUAACGGUCAACAUUUAUUCACACCAUGUUCAACGAAUUUUUAUGUUGAACAUGUAGGGGACGAAACCCCAGAACUCCAAAAAAUUCAGUAUAUUUUGAUGAACGUUCAACGAAAUGAUUGAUAUCUUCAAUAUAAUUUGAUGAGCAUGAGCGUGUUCGUGUUCUCCAUUAAACGCUACUGCUACCGAACCAAUUGUAACAAGUUCGACUUCAAAAGUGGAUAAUGCAAAUCGGACUCCACCAACUAGGCAACUAGGUCACUCCACAGGGACAUAUAUAGCUAUGUAAAUGAUCCGAAAGUUGCUUCUGAAAGUUACAUACAACAAGAGCAUAAUAAUCUACGCGCGUUAACGUUCAUGCUUCGUAAUACAAAUCAGAUUCAUACUGCCAACUUCUGAUGAUCCAUUCACUAUCUCUAUCGUGAUACUUAAUAGAAAAUGUCCUCUAAAUAGUCUAAAUUAAUUUACACAAAAGGGAACUUUGAUGAGGGCCAGAGAGAGUGACGGAUUCGGAAUUUGUCAUUAGGAAGGCAAAAUUUAUUGAAGUACGGCGUCUAAAAAUAUCUACACGGAAGUUUGGGAGCGAGAGCCUUGAGCCAAAAAAAAUUUAGUAUUCUAUAAAGUUUAUUAUUAUAUCCAAAAAGAAUCUUAAUGAGUUUAGAAUUAGAAUAAGUCACUUAAUAUAAUAAAUAGUCGUUCGCAAUUCCAUUAAUUUAAUUGUAAGUACAUUAAAAGCAUAUCAAGACCCACUCGUUUUUUUUUUUUGAAAAAAUUAUUUCAUCUUCUAAAAGAAAUAAACUAAUUUCAUUAUCAAUAAUUCAUAAUUUUACUUCAACUCAAUGAUCGACUCAAAUUCAACAUAAGAAAUCAACUAAGAAAGGAAAAUGAACAAAAAUAACACAAAUUUAAAUCACUGUAAAAUGUUAAGCAAUUAACGUGGAUAUUAUAAUUAUUAAAACACUAUAUUAUAUUUUUCUUGUAUAUAUAUGUAUAUAGUAAAGAAAAAACAAAAAACAAAAAACAAAAAACAAAAUUGGGUGUACCGAUGUUGCUCCCAUGUACAUCCGCCCCUGGCCAGAGGUGUCGGUAACUCACCUCUGGUAUCAGCAGCGCACGUUUCCAUUUCUCGACUAGGAGGAUUUGACUGCAGCAGUAGGCUUCAGCUUCUUUGGCGGAGGAUUGCCUCCGGAUAUC
Molecule: long non-coding RNA, 1251 nt
Filed under: Salvia miltiorrhiza (redroot sage)
Lineage: Eukaryota; Viridiplantae; Streptophyta; Magnoliopsida; Lamiales; Lamiaceae
Description: long non-coding RNA (SMIL_LNC004706)
Source: RNAcentral